This 1170-nucleotide long non-coding RNA is filed under the name Physeter macrocephalus (sperm whale). RNAcentral's name for it is "Physeter catodon (sperm whale) lncRNA (ENSPCTG00005006216.1)". Lineage: Eukaryota; Metazoa; Chordata; Mammalia; Artiodactyla; Physeteridae. The record is from RNAcentral.
CCCCUUCCUCCACGCCCGUCUUUUUUCGUGUCUUCCUCAGGCCGGUCCUUUUGUUCCCCCGGCCUCCGCUUCUUAGCCCUUCCCCUCACCCCGCGUAGGGGGAGGUGACCUGGGCCAGCCGUAUAACGCUCAGUGUUCUUCGGUCUCAAAUUCCACCCCGCUGGAAAAUGCGCACUUCCGCUGGGCGGGCAUCUUAAUUCAGUCGACAUCACGGUAAAUAUGUGGGCGAGGGGGAUCAGGAGAAGCCGAGACAGAGCGGUUGACAGAAAUAGGAAAACUAAGGUGAAAAUAAGAAUGAGUGAGAACAGAUGGCAACGUAGAGGAUGGGUGAGGGCCUGUUUCAAUGAGUACUUGGUAGGGAUGUCAGUGAUCUUUUAACAGUUGAAAGUGAGUUCCGUCAGUCAAUAUAGUAUUGCGUUUUCUUCCCUUUGAUGUGAUCUGUGAGCUACUAAGUAGAUGUUCCUUUCAAGUACCUCUUGUCUCUUCUCUGCAAGUGAUGAAGAAUGGGCUGGAUUGACCUGGAACCAUCUUCCAACAGAGCCCCUCUAUUCAUGAUUAAGACGUUUGCCCAGAGCUUAUUUCUAAGCUGACCCCUUUCAGCGUUUUCCCGGGAGGACCAGCUUCUUGAUCUCCAUACUGAAUGCCCAGUGUCCUUCAGUUUGCCGCUUGUGUGUGUUCCUCUCGCGAUCCUGUGCCCAUAGGUCUCUGUGCCUUUCAGCCCUGUUUGCUCAUGCAUGCAUGGAGGAGAGGAGGAAAAAUGGAGAAAGUGGAGAGGAGCCUGUAGGUGUCUGCCGGAGGGAGACGGAAAAUGGCAGUGAUGGUGGUAUCCCAGACGCUGUUUUCUUCUUCCUUGAGCCCCUGGAGCGAAGGGAAGAGAUCUCCUCUAACUGGCUCACCCAUCUGCCUCAGGGCCUGUGUUCUCUCCUCGGCAUCGACUGUGAAGUCUGUCCCUGCUCCUGGCUGCGGCUGACCCUGCGAUUGUGCCCGUUGCCGGCUUCACUCUGUGUCAGGACGGCAUGGCAUCCUUCCUCCACUGCAUCAUGUAUUUACUUUUUGGGGUUUAUUUUCGUCAGCAUACACAAAUGGUGGUGUUGCCUAUCUUACACACAAGGACCAUCACACACACACACACACACGCCAAAACCUUUUUAUGCACUCUGCCAUCUUUAA